AACGACUCUCGGCAACGGAUAUCUCGGCUCUCGCAUCGAUGAAGAACGUAGCGAAAUGCGAUACUUGGUGUGAAUUGCAGAAUCCCGUGAACCAUCGAGUUUUUGAACGCAAGUUGCGCCCCAAGCCUUUGGGCCGAGGGUACGCUUGCCUGGGCGUCACGC
Molecule: ribosomal RNA, 162 nt
Filed under: Meconopsis lancifolia
Lineage: Eukaryota; Viridiplantae; Streptophyta; Magnoliopsida; Ranunculales; Papaveraceae
Description: 5.8S ribosomal RNA
Rfam family: 5.8S ribosomal RNA
About the family: 5.8S ribosomal RNA (5.8S rRNA) is a component of the large subunit of the eukaryotic ribosome.
Source: RNAcentral